AGACACAAGGGCAAUCUGGCUGCAAUAUCUGUCACCCCAUUGAUCACCAGGGUUGAUUCGGCUGAUCUGGGUGACUAGGCAGGUGUCCCCUUCAUCCCUCAGUGUUCCAUAUGUCCUCCUAAAGCUGUGUGCCUAGUAGAAGAGGAAGACCUUCCCUGAUAGAGGAGGACCAUUCUUUGGUGAAGGGUAUACAGGUAGCUGCACUCCCUUGCUAGAACCUCCAAGCAAGUUCCCACGUUCCAUUUAUAGGAGAAUGUAGGGCAGUCAAGCUCCUAAGACUCCAGACACAUCUAAAUGAUGUGCUGCAUGUGGCAAUCUGCCUUUCUUG
RNAcentral lists this small nuclear RNA (328 nucleotides) under Vulpes vulpes (red fox). RNAcentral's name for it is "7SK RNA (ENSVVUG00000011365.1)". It matches the Rfam family "7SK RNA". Rfam says of the family: 7SK was discovered as an abundant small nuclear RNA in the mid-70s but a possible function has only recently been suggested. The record is from Rfam by way of RNAcentral. Lineage: Eukaryota; Metazoa; Chordata; Mammalia; Carnivora; Canidae.